RNAcentral lists this ribosomal RNA (159 nucleotides) under uncultured soil bacterium. RNAcentral's name for it is "partial 16S ribosomal RNA". It matches the Rfam family "Bacterial small subunit ribosomal RNA", at positions 26 to 183 of the family's 1533-position model. The record is from RNAcentral.
AGAUUGAACGCUGGCGGCAUGCCUUACACAUGCAAGUCGAACGGCAGCACGGGAGCAAUCCUGGUGGCGAGUGGCGAACGGGUGAGUAAUAUAUCGGAACGUGCCCAGUCGUGGGGGAUAACGCGAGCGAAAGCUGUGCUAAUACCGCAUACGAUCUCU